UUCCCAACCCAGGGAUCGAACCCAGGUCUCCCACAAUGCAGGCAGACUCUUUACCAACUGAGCCACCAGGGA
RNAcentral lists this transfer RNA (72 nucleotides) under Haemonchus contortus (barber pole worm). RNAcentral's name for it is "tRNA, Pseudo". Lineage: Eukaryota; Metazoa; Nematoda; Chromadorea; Rhabditida; Trichostrongylidae. The record is from RNAcentral.